RNAcentral lists this non-coding RNA (146 nucleotides) under Nomascus leucogenys (northern white-cheeked gibbon). Lineage: Eukaryota; Metazoa; Chordata; Mammalia; Primates; Hylobatidae. The record is from Rfam by way of RNAcentral.
GCCGGGUAUGGUGGCACAUGCCUGUAAUCCCAGCUACUUGGGAGGCUGAGGCGGGAGAAUUGCUUGAACCUGGGAGAUGGAGGUUGCAGUGAGCCGAGGGCGCCACUGCACUCCAGCCUAGGCAACAGAGCAAGACUCUGUCUCAA